Molecule: transfer RNA, 73 nt
Filed under: Stegodyphus mimosarum
Lineage: Eukaryota; Metazoa; Arthropoda; Arachnida; Araneae; Eresidae
Rfam family: tRNA
About the family: Transfer RNA (tRNA) molecules are approximately 80 nucleotides in length. Their secondary structure includes four short double-helical elements and three loops (D, anti-codon, and T loops).
Source: Rfam by way of RNAcentral
GCCUUCGUGGUGUAGUGGUCAGCACGCUUGACGCGUAUUCGAGAGGUCCGUGGUUCGAGUCCCGGCGAAGACG